RNAcentral lists this ribosomal RNA (253 nucleotides) under uncultured bacterium. Its description in RNAcentral is "partial 16S ribosomal RNA". It matches the Rfam family "Bacterial small subunit ribosomal RNA", at positions 524 to 776 of the family's 1533-position model. The record is from RNAcentral.
UACGGGGGGGGCAAGCGUUGUUCGGAAUUACUGGGCGUAAAGGGCUCGUAGGCGGCCAACUAAGUCAGACGUGAAAUCCCUCGGCUUAACCGGGGAACUGCGUCUGAUACUGGAUGGCUUGAGUUCGGGAGAGGGAUGCGGAAUUCCAGGUGUAGCGGUGAAAUGCGUAGAGAUCGGGAAGAACAUCGGUGGCGAAAGCGCUCUACUGGACGGUGACUGACACUCAGGGACGAAAGCUAGGGGAGCGAAUGGG